AUGUACACCAAGGAGUUAAUCUGUCGAGCCUGCACAAGCAAAACCAAGAUCGAAACCACAAUACCUAACCUAGAUACAUGGUGGCCGGACAGAGUAGCAGGCAGAGACGAUGUAGCAGGGGCCAGGGUCGCAGGUAAACAUCGAUCGGUGGAGCGAGCAUCAGUCAUGGUGGCAGAGCAGCAUGACGACGCAGCGCCGGAUGAUGUAGAGCCUGGCCCUGUGCUCCCGCAGCAUCCUCGCCAGCCUUCCUCCUCCGCUUCCACCUCCGCCUCCUCUUCCCUUUUGCUUCUCUUGCUGCUUCCUCACAUCAUCGUUCAUCCGAGCUGA
RNAcentral lists this ribosomal RNA (327 nucleotides) under Triticum aestivum (bread wheat). RNAcentral describes it as "partial small subunit ribosomal RNA". The record is from RNAcentral. Lineage: Eukaryota; Viridiplantae; Streptophyta; Magnoliopsida; Poales; Poaceae.